RNAcentral lists this ribosomal RNA (497 nucleotides) under uncultured bacterium. RNAcentral's name for it is "partial 16S ribosomal RNA". It matches the Rfam family "Bacterial small subunit ribosomal RNA", at positions 28 to 507 of the family's 1533-position model. The record is from RNAcentral.
GAUGAACGCUGGCGGCGUGCCUAAUACAUGCAAGUCGAGCGAACGGACGAGAAGCUUGCUUCUCUGAUGUUAGCGGCGGACGGGUGAGUAACACGUGGAUAACCUACCUAUAAGACUGGGAUAACUUCGGGAAACCGUAGCUAAUACCGGAUAAUAUUUUGAACCGCAUGGUUCAAAAGUGAAAGACGGUUUUGCUGUCACUUAUAGAUGGAUCCGGGCUGCAUUAGCUAGUUGGUAAGGUAACGGCUAACCAAGGCAACGAUGCAUAGCCGACCUGAGAGGGUGAUCGGCCACACUGGAACUGAGACACGGUCCAGACUCCUACGGGAGGCAGCAGUAGGGAAUCUUCCGCAAUGGGCGAAAGCCUGACGGAGCAACGCCGCGUGAGUGAUGAAGGUCUUCGGAUCGCAAAACUCUGUUAUUAGGGAAGAACAUAUGUGUAAGUAACUGUGCACAUCUUGACGGUACCUAAUCAGAAAGCCACGGCUAACUACGUG